GAGAGAGGAAAGAGGGAGGAGAGCGGAGGAGAGGCGACAUGGAUCUUGAGGCCAAUUCCUUCCUAGGAGAUGGAUGUUGAAGCGAACUUCUUCUCCUUCCUCCCUCCCUCCGAUCCUUGAGUCUUAACCCUAGACGGAGAGAUGGUCGGCGACGAUGGAAUGGCGGAGAUCCUCCAACUCUUCUGUGCGCGAAGCAAUUUCCAUCCGGAUCUUUUCCUAUCGAGGUAUUUGUAAAGAUCCCCAAAUUACAAGCCCUUGGAUUCUUGACUCUUUCGCUUGUGAUUUCUUUUGCUUCUGUUGUCACGACAUUCGUUUGCAAGAAUGUUGGCAAGAUGUUGUUCUGCAAGAAAAGGAAAUGGGGAUCUCGAAGAGUAUCUCCUCGAACCGUCUUAAGGGCACUUAAUUAAACUUUAUAAUCUAUACCGAUCCUUGAGUCUGACCCCUGAAUGAAUAAGCGACAUAAUAUGGUGGAGAGGUAGAAGAUCCUCUAGAUCUCCUGCGAUGUAUUGGUAAACAUCUCCCAAAAGUAAUCGUUCUUGUAUUCUUGAUUUUUUUUUUAAUCUUGAGUUGAUACGUUUGAUUGUUGAACUGGUUCCUUUUGGUAUUGCAUAACGUGUCCAGAUUGUUUGUGAUUUCUUUUUCUUUUGUUAUUAAGAAUCCUAACAACUUCACAUGUCCUUUCCAAAGAUGUUGUUAGAAUGUCCUUCGGCAAGAAAAUGAGGAUUGGGAUGUGAUUCAUCAUCCUAAAGGUUGAUGAAUUAGAUUAUAACCUUUACCAACUCACUUGAUUCCUCUUUGUUUGUUGUUUGGACUUCUCUUGCAAGAAGUUUAGGUAUGAAAAGUUAGUAAUCGUCUGUCCCAGAAAUUGAUCAUCUGAUUCUUGUGGUUUUUAUUGUCAUAAAUUACCUUUUGUCUGGCACUUCUUAGUGCUAGCCUAAAUGAAAUAGGUUAUUUUGUUAACUAAAUGACACCAUCAUAUUUUCUGACCUUGGGAUCCAUUGGAUCUUUAAUUUGCUUGUUCCUAUUCCUACCUUGGUCUCAUCUUGGGGUCUUAAGACAUGAUGGUUCUUUCAUGAUCUCCUGGUCAUGUUGCAUGUUAUGUUCACAUCUGAGAAUAUAGAAGAAGAUACAGGGUUAUUCUAUGUCUUACAUAUGAAGCUAGCACUGCUUGUGCUUCUUAAUCUGAUCCUAGUGUGAUUAUCAUACUUUUAUGCUACUUUUCUUUAAUUAUUAUUCUUCACAUGAUGAUCAAGAUCAUAAAUAAUGUCACCCCUUUGAAUUUACUUUACAUUUUGACAUAAACAAAUCUCUUCGAUAAGUUUGUUUUUGUUUUCAUAUGUGAGAUUAGCAAUGUUGAUCGGGUUACUAUAUCUUGAUCAAGAUGAUAUCGUAUGUCUUAUAUUAGAAUAUGAUCUGUGAAUCAAGGUCAUGUUGAUAUCUAUCUUUGAUUCCAUUAUGUAAUAAUUAGAUUUGAUUCUAUUAAUUGGUUUAAAAUUAAGUAGCUAAGGAAUGAAUUAUUUAGAUUAGCCUUCAUUUAUAAAAAGCAUGAACUUACCUUAAACUCUAGUUCAUCAUAAGUUUGAAAUUAACUGAUUAUAUAUGUUAUAGAUACGAUUGUGGAUAUAUAAAUACAUUAGGACAUUCUCGUUUAAAUUGUACAGAUUGGAUAUCCAGUCCAAUUAUAACUUGAUUAAGCUUGCCUAAUUUGGUUUCAAUUUUAAUUGACAUGAUCAUAAUAAUUUGUAGUUAUGCAAGCUAAGAUGACACCUGAGUAAGUUUCCAUUAUAAUCCUAAAUAAAUUAGGAUAUCCUCGUUUGAAUUGUACAAAUGCUAUGUUUGGUCCAAUUACAACUUAAGUCGGUAAGUCUAAUUUGUGAUAAGUCAAUUUGAAUUUUGAAUGACUUGUGAUCAUAAUGGUAUUUAAUUUGUGAACAGCAUUUUUAUUCCCCAUGAUAACAUUCCAAUUCAAAGAUUCUUUUAAUCAAAUAUUAACAUCUAACUCUAGUCCUAUGGCCUUCAUAAUGAUAAAUUUGGUCAUGAUUGAUAUCGAGUUCAUUUAAUUAGUAAUUCUUUAUCAUGUCACAUUCAAUUAUAUUACCAGUUUUAAUUUGUUGUAUUUAUGUGGUCAUUUCAUCCUAUGUUCUGGAUCAAAUUAUGUCGACAUAGUUAAGAUCAAGUAGAUCAAAAUUGAUCAUCCAAAGGUUUAUUUAGCAUCCAUGAAAUUCACAAAUUUGACAAGUUAAUAUUAAUAUGUAAUUAAAUAUUUCAUUUUCACUUAAUUAAAUCAAGUGAUGCUUUCAUUUUAAUCCAAAUUUUAGUAUUUUGACCAAGUUGAUGUUUCCACAUGAAGUUGACCCUCCAAGGCCACAUUUUUAAUUAUUUGAUUUCUUGCUUGUUUAUUCUUCAGAUUUUGUUUAUCCGUUUUUAUAGAUGACUUGUUUGCUAAACUUUCCUCUCGUAUUCUGAGUUGAUAUUUUAAGGACUAAGAAAUAUUCUAAAAUGGAAUGCUAGAGUUGGGCAUGCUUCUUGAUUUGAUCCAACCAUAUUAUUAUACUUUUAUGGUGCCUUUUCAUUAGUUAUUCUACAUAAGAUGAUCAAGAUUGUAAAUAAUAAUAUACCUUUGAAUUUAUAAUUGAUUUUAAGAGGCAAUGAAAUUCAAUGACAGGGUUCCCCCCGAAAAUGUUUGUACGAUUUCCAUUGUAAAAUAUGUACCUCCAAUUUGUUCUUUUCAUAUAGUGGAACCAUUUGUGAGGUCGAUUAUAUGAGUUUCAAGAUGAAAAGCUUAGACAUUGCUGUUGGAUAAGAGGUAUGCCAACCGAAAGGAAGUUGCUUAUAACUGCAAGCAUUUGAAAAGCAAGAUCUCUACUAUCAUAUGCUUUGCAAUCUAGACUUGAGGAUCACUUGCACCACAAUUGUCUUAACCUUUUUGGGUUGCUCUAAUUGAAGCAUUUCUAACGUCUAAAGAUGUGGCAAAAAGCUUAAGGCGGAGCAUCGGGGAAGACGUCAAAGAUUAAGCUGCAUUGACUUUGUUUGUUUAUACAUUGAUUUUAUUGCACUGGAAACAAAAGGGUCGAGGGGGUGAAAUCCUUUGUAAAGGUUUGAUGUGGUCAAGGAUAUCCUUUGUAAAGGUUUGAUGUGGUCUAAGGAUAUCCGGUGGUAGGGCAUCUUUUUGUUGAAAUCAGGAUCAAUUAGAUUUGACCAUAUUAUUUGGCUUGGAAUUAAGUAGUUAAGGUUUGACAUAUUUUGCUUAGUUUUAUUCUUAAAGAUUUUUUUAUCACAUGUAUAUUUAGUUGACUAAGCUUGGAGUUAGCUAAUUAAGUACCUGUUAUACAUUUUUAGAUAAAGCCGCUUGCGGCAGGCAUGUCAUACAUUGUUAAUUGCACAAAGGUUAUCGCAUAUGUUCAUAGUUUGAAGGUGAGCGAGCACAUGUCGCUGGCGUAGUUGAUGUGUUCAAAGAUUUGGUGGUUAGACAUUUUGAUUAUUUUUUGUGUUCCGCGUAAAAGUUAUUAUUUUUCACUUUGGCAAUAUUUUCUUAAUUUUUUUAACUAUAAUUUUGUGUUCCGU
Molecule: long non-coding RNA, 3564 nt
Filed under: Musa acuminata (dwarf banana)
Lineage: Eukaryota; Viridiplantae; Streptophyta; Magnoliopsida; Zingiberales; Musaceae
Description: long non-coding RNA (MACU_LNC006137)
Source: RNAcentral